Molecule: ribosomal RNA, 253 nt
Filed under: uncultured bacterium
Lineage: Bacteria
Description: partial 16S ribosomal RNA
Rfam family: Bacterial small subunit ribosomal RNA
Source: RNAcentral
UACGUAGGGAGCAAGCGUUGUCCGGAAUCAUUGGGCGUAAAGCGCGCGUAGGUGGCUUCGUAAGUCCGUUGUGAAAGUCAAAGGCUCAACCUUUGAAAGCCGAUGGAUACUGCGGAGCUAGAGUACGGAAGAGGCGAGUGGAAUUCCUGGUGUAGCGGUGGAAUGCGCAGAUAUCAGGAGGAACACCGGUGGCGAAGGCGGGUCUCUGGGUAGUAACUGACGCUGAGGAACGAAAGCGUGGGUAGCGAACAGG